Molecule: long non-coding RNA, 360 nt
Filed under: Olea europaea (common olive)
Lineage: Eukaryota; Viridiplantae; Streptophyta; Magnoliopsida; Lamiales; Oleaceae
Description: long non-coding RNA (OEUR_LNC003078)
Source: RNAcentral
GAAGAAAUGAUUGAUCAUCGUAACCGUGCCGCGCAGGGACUCCCUCCCCCACAGAGGCAAGUAGGCCGAGGCCCCGCAGCGCACCUUGUUACUCAGCAAUGGACCCAAGCAGGGCAUACCAUAGCUCCCACAUCCGGACAGGCCCUAGCUUCCGCCACGUUGAACGCAGUGCCGGUAUUGGCAUAUGAUAGCGCACCCACUGAGGCAGCACCAUCCGAAAAAACUGACGAUAAAAAGAAGAAGAAGAGGCCCAAUAGGCCCUUGCCAGGAGCAAGAUUUUGUACUUUCCAUCAACUAUAUGGGCAUGACACCAGUGAGUGUCGGGAUGUCAACCGGCGCCCUGAUCGAAGCAACCCCCUC